This 468-nucleotide ribosomal RNA is filed under the name uncultured bacterium. Its description in RNAcentral is "partial 16S ribosomal RNA". It matches the Rfam family "Bacterial small subunit ribosomal RNA", at positions 28 to 507 of the family's 1533-position model. The record is from RNAcentral.
GAUGAACGCUGGCGGCGUGCCUAACACAUGCAAGUCGAACGGAAAGGCCCUGCUUUUGCGGGGUGCUCGAGUGGCGAACGGGUGUGUAACACGUGAGUAUCCCGCCCUUGACUUUGGGAUAACUUCAGGAAACUGGGGCUAAUACCGGAUAGGAGCUCCUGCUGCAUGGUGGGGGUUGGAAAGUUUCGGCGGUUGGGGAUGGACUCGCGGCUUACCAGCUUGUUGGUGGGGUAGUUGCUUACCAAGGCUUUGACGGGUAGCCGGCCUGAGAGGGUGACCGGCGACAUGAGGACUGAGAUACGGCCCAGACUCCUACGGGAGGCAGCAGUGGGGAGUAUUGCACAGUGGGCGGAAGCGUGAUGCAGCAGCGCCGCGUGCGGGAUGACGGCCUUCGGGUGGUGAACCGCUUUCGCCUGUGACGAAGCGUGAGUGACGGUAAUGGGUAAAGAAGCACCGGCUAACUACGUG